CCUACGGGAGGCAGCAGUGGGGCAUAUUGGGCAAUGGGCGCAAGCCUGACCCAGCAACGCCGCGUGAAGGAAGAAGGCUUUCGGGUUGUAAACUUCUUUUCUCAGGGACGAAGCAAGUGACGGUACCUGAGGAAAAAGCAUCGGCUAACUCCGUGCCAGCAGCCGCGGUAAUACGGGGGGUGCGGGCGUUAUCCGGUUUUAUUGGGUUUAAAGGGUGCGUAGGAGGGCUGUUAAGUCAGCGGUAAAAUUGCGGGGCUCAACGCCGUCGAGCCGUUGAAACUGGCAGACUUGAGUUGGCGAGAAGUACGCGGAAUGCGCGGUGUAGCGGUGAAAUGCAUAGAUAUCGCGCAGAACUCCGAUUGCGAAGGCAGCGUACCGGAGCCAGACUGACGCUGAGGCACGAAAGCGUGGGGAUCGAACAGGAUUAGAUACCCGUGUAGUC
This 442-nucleotide ribosomal RNA is filed under the name uncultured bacterium. Its description in RNAcentral is "partial 16S ribosomal RNA". It matches the Rfam family "Bacterial small subunit ribosomal RNA", at positions 338 to 795 of the family's 1533-position model. The record is from RNAcentral.